RNAcentral lists this ribosomal RNA (261 nucleotides) under uncultured archaeon. Its description in RNAcentral is "partial 16S ribosomal RNA". It matches the Rfam family "Archaeal small subunit ribosomal RNA", at positions 748 to 1009 of the family's 1478-position model. The record is from RNAcentral.
CAGCCGUAAACUAUGCGCGUUAGGUGUAUCGGUGACCACGAGUCACCGAGGUGCCGAAGGGAAACCGUGAAACGUGCCGCCUGGGAAGUACGGUCGCAAGGCUGAAACUUAAAGGAAUUGGCGGGGGAGCACCACAACGAGUGGAGCCUGCGGUUUAAUUGGACUCAACGCCGGGAAGCUCACCGGAUAAGACAGCGGAAUGAUUGCCGGGCUGAAGACUCUGCAUGACUAGCUGAGAGGAGGUGCAUGGCGUAGACGUCU